UUUGAGUUACCAAGAUUUUUGACAACCAUGGUAUAUAUAUUUUGAAAAUGUAAAGAUUGCUUCAACUUGUGAAUAAAUUUAAAAGAAGAGACAUUUUCUUGCAUUUGUGCACAAAAAUUCUAAAUCAAGCGAUGAUAUGUGAACAUAAUGUGGUCACCAUCAUUGGAGAUUAUAUUUUUUUUAUUCCGUGACAACGCAUGGGCCAUUUUGCUAGUUAAUAUAAAAUAAUCUAUAAUCCGGAUGAAAAUAUUUUAUACAUGAAAGUUGAUUAGAAAACGAGAUGAACCCGGUACGCUAUCCGUUCGUGUGUCACACGUCCCUAUCACAGCGAACGUGGAAGUUUUCCAUCCGUUUCGCGUGACCGGUAGUAGCCAUAGACCCGGAAAAUAUCAUCUGAUAUUUUCCCAAUCCGUCUAUGACGGGUGAUACUGCGUUAGCUCAUGCCUAGCGCUGCAUAUAACUAUGUCAUGCUUUGUGAGGCAUUUGAUUGCUAUGUUAUUUAUUAUGUUUUCCCCUAUGUUACUUCCUUUCCGGUAGACCCCGAGACCGAUGAUGAUCCGGUGAUCGACUACUUCUCGGUCGAGGAUCCGUUUUGUGUGCAGAGCAACGAGGCAAGCAAACCCCCUUGAUCAUUCCUAUAUCGCCUAUUCUUUGUCCCUCAUGCUUGCAUUAGAAUUUUGCUACUGUUGUAGUUAGCUCCUAUAUCUGAUGCAUAGCAUGUUUUUGAUAAACUGCUACAUUAUUCUACUGCACCUUAAAACUGUUUAGUAUAGGUGGAGCAAUCAUCCCGUGUGCCCCCUUAGUCCAGUUGCCCCGCUUUAUCGUCAAGUCUCGAUCAACUGAUCGACGAGCCAAGACCCGACACAGCACUCACACCCUCCUUAAUUGUACAAUGCAACAAAGCUACUGUUGAGUACCAAGGGUGACACCUCGUUACGUACUCUGAUGUUAGCUUUGUAGUGUAGUUGCGCGGCGAUGGUUCUCCGAGGGUGAUUCCUCCUUCACCAUCUUUGAUAACGACUCUGUCGUACAACCCAUCAAGCGUCGCCCAUCGAGGGUGAUUCCUCCUUGGCCACCUUGACGGUUACAUCGUUCGGAAUCCAUCGAGGGUGAUACCUCGGAUCCCCCUGAUGUUACAACCACACAGUUACUUGACCGUGUUACUGGAAACAUUGAUGAAUAAAUGUUAGGCCGGUGGAUUCCCGCGUGGAUGUGUCGAUGAGUUAAUUAAAAUUCUAAUGAUAUGGGUAUUUGAUCUGGGUUGGAGAGAGACCUUUUCGCACUAACCGGCUACGCGGGAGAAGUUAUGGUACUUGACGUCGUGGUAUCAGCCGAAACUCUUCAGACGUCAGCGAUGGAGCAGCGCGCGCCCGAGUGGUCUGGAUUAUCACCAUUCUUGUAUAAGAGGUGCCAAGGCUGACAUUGGCCGCCCACGCAACAUGCAGGAGCGCAAUGGGUGAUGGGCCCAUGAACCCUGCACGCUUAGGAUUUAGACCGGCGGGCUGGCCUCUCUGUUGAGUCUAGGCGGGGCUGCGACGUGUUGAUGUUCCGAGGCGGGGCAUGACACAGGAAAGUGUGUCCGACCAGAGUUUAUCAAGCGUGAUGUGAAACUUGGUGCACCUGUGCAAUGAUGAAAAUUAACUAUUCGGAUAGUCGUGUCCACGGUUACAUGACGACUUGGAGUUGUGCCCCGAUCUUAUACAACUACAACUGUUACUUAACUGGAAUGUUUGCUCCGGGAUUGCUUCCUCGCACGGAGUCGAGGGAGGAUCCCUGGGCGUGACCUUAAUUUAAUAUUGCUGCAACAAUAUGACUAUAAUUGUGUUCAUGCUCUACUCUCGUCUAUUGGUGCAAGACCGCUGAAGAUGCUAAUCUUCGAUAGGACUAGUAUUCUCUCUCUAUUCUUGCAUUGUUGCAGUCAGUCCACAUAUAACCCCUUCCUUUGAUACUGAUGCAUACUUAGCAUAGUUCUGAUGUCAGUCUUGCGAGUACCUUGGAUGAGUACUCACCGUUGCUUCGCUCCCCCUUUUCCCCUCGACCCGUUGCUGCGACCAGAUGAUGGAUCCCAGGAGAUGGUGUAUCUCGCCGACGACGAUUGCUACCCCGAUGGUGCCUACUACUACGUGGAGGCCGCUCACGACCAGGAGUAGUUUAGGAGGUUCCGAGGCAGGAUGCCUCACCUCGUUCGAUCGUUGUAUCUUUUGUGCUAGCCUUCUCUAAGGCAUUGUCAUGUUUCAUGUGUGUACUCAGAUAUUUGUUGCUUCCGCUGACUCAUGUGUUUAUUGAGCUUCUGUAUUCUAGCCCUCGAGGUCCCUGGCUUGUAAUAUGAAGCUUGUAUUGUUUUAAAUUGUGUCUAGAGUUGUGUUGUGAUAUCUUCUCGUGAGUCCUUGAGCUUGGUCCUAUGCAUUUGCAUGUAUGAUUAGCGUACGAUCAAACUGAGGGCGUCCCAGGGAGCCUCUGUUCCCAAGAGAUCCAAUCUGGGAGCCUUUUCCGAUAAUCUUCCGGAGAGGGAAUUGAUCACGGAGGGCAUCUACAUCAACUCCAUUGCCCCUCCGAUGAUGUGUGAGUAGUUAACCAAGACCUACGGGUCCAUAGCUAGUAGCUAGAUGGCUUCUUCUCCCUAUUUGAUCUUCAAUAUCAAGUUCUUCAUGAUCUUCAUGGAGAUCUAUCCGAUGUAAUACUCUUUUGCAGUGUGUUUGUCGAGAUCCGAUGAAUUGUGAGUUUAUGUUCAGAUUAUCUAUGAAUAUUAUUUGAG
RNAcentral lists this long non-coding RNA (2755 nucleotides) under Hordeum vulgare. RNAcentral's name for it is "long non-coding RNA (HVUL_LNC004957)". The record is from RNAcentral. Lineage: Eukaryota; Viridiplantae; Streptophyta; Magnoliopsida; Poales; Poaceae.